GACAUAGGUGGCGAACGUUAUCCGGAUUUAUUGGGCGUAAAGGAUGCGUAGAUGGUGGAAUAAGUUAUUGGUCGAGGUCAAGCUCAACUUGGCGGAAGCUGAUAAUACUGUUCUACUUGAGGGUAGGAGAGGUUGGCGGAAUUCUGUGUGGAGCGGUGAAAUGCGUUGAUCUACAGAGGAACACCAAAAAGGGCGAAGGCAGCCAACUAUUCUGAUCCUGACAUUGAGGCAUGAAAGCGUGGGGAGCAAACCGG
This 254-nucleotide ribosomal RNA is filed under the name uncultured bacterium. RNAcentral's name for it is "partial 16S ribosomal RNA". It matches the Rfam family "Bacterial small subunit ribosomal RNA", at positions 524 to 776 of the family's 1533-position model. The record is from RNAcentral.